GAUGGUUUUAUGUGAUCCUUGUGUUGUCAAUCAAUGUUACUAAUAACAACUUGUGAGAAGUUUGAAGUUUCACAUCUUAAUAUUUUCUAUAGGUCAGUGGCAAUGAACAAACUGAUAUUCUGCAUGUUGAAUUAUUGCCAAGGAUAAAAGAAUUAAUGACUGACAGACUGAUGCUAUGCUUCGUAUAUGAAGUUAAGGAACCAGCAAAUGUUUGGACAGCUAAAGAAACAACUAGUUUUGUGCCCAUAACCAAAAUGAGGUGCAUAGGCAUAUUCAAGACAUAGUGUUUUGUUUCUGAUCUAUACUGCCUAAAAAUGGAAUUAUCUGUCAACAUU
This 335-nucleotide long non-coding RNA is filed under the name Setaria viridis. Its description in RNAcentral is "long non-coding RNA (SVIR_LNC004232)". Lineage: Eukaryota; Viridiplantae; Streptophyta; Magnoliopsida; Poales; Poaceae. The record is from RNAcentral.